CACACAUUUACUUAAAUCCCCUUUCCCACUGGACAGCCAGCUCCUUGGGGCAGAGACCUGUCCUACUCAUGUCUGUGAUCACAACUGCCUGCAUAUUUCAUCCUCACAGGAUGUUUGCCCAAGACUUACGAAACUGCGAUCCAAGGCCACCCAGGUGCCCUACUUUGUCAUAGUGUGAGUGAGAGGAACUUGCCAGGGAUUGAAAACUACAGAACAUAGCUGUUUUGGAAAGAAUUGGAUUUGAAGGUAUUACACCCAUCCACAUCUGAUGCCAGAGGAGCACAUGAGCCACGCCUCUGCCACAGAGAGCUCCGUCCCAGUGGGUGAUAUAUUUUCUCUGAACUAUUCCUGGAAAAUAUUCCAGAAGACAAAUCAGCAACAGGAUGAAAGAGGCUGAUCCUGAACUCAUGGGCUCCAACGACCCUCCCACCUCAGCUUCUUAGUACCUGGGACUACAGAUGUGUCCUCGCGUACCAGGCAAGAGCUGGCUUUUGUAUGGUCGCUCCUAAGUGUCAGUCUUCAUGGUGAUCACUCCCCACACACAGAGGCUUACCCAAGGACAAAAGAUCUGAAGGCAGAGGGUGUACAACUAACCUCGGACCAAAGGGAGUGCUGUGGUCCAAGACAUACAUUCCAACAAGGGAUCGGGCAGGGUCCUUCAAAGUAUUUCUGUAGAGGAGAUACAGAUACAGACCCAG
Heterocephalus glaber (naked mole-rat) is the source of this 698-nucleotide long non-coding RNA. Lineage: Eukaryota; Metazoa; Chordata; Mammalia; Rodentia; Bathyergidae. The record is from Ensembl.